RNAcentral lists this ribosomal RNA (253 nucleotides) under uncultured bacterium. Its description in RNAcentral is "partial 16S ribosomal RNA". It matches the Rfam family "Bacterial small subunit ribosomal RNA", at positions 524 to 776 of the family's 1533-position model. The record is from RNAcentral.
GACAGAGGGGGCAAGCGUUGCUCGGAAUCACUGGGCGUAAAGGGCGCGUAGGCGGGAUGGCAAGUCGGUCGUGAAAUCCUUCGGCUCAACCGAAGAACGUCGGCCGAUACUGCCGUUCUUGAGGGAUGCAGAGGAGAUUGGAAUUCCCGGUGUAGCGGUGAAAUGUGUAGAGAUCGGGAGGAACACCAGUGGCGAAGGCGGGUCUCUGGGCAUCUCCUGACGCUGAGGCGCGAAAGCGUGGGGAGCAAACGGG